Glycine soja is the source of this 1347-nucleotide long non-coding RNA. RefSeq lists it as uncharacterized. The record is from RefSeq and is a predicted model, not a curated record. The transcript has 3 exons. NCBI's taxonomy places the organism in Eukaryota, Viridiplantae, Streptophyta, Magnoliopsida, Fabales, Fabaceae.
AUUCAUAAUAAUUCGCCUACUGAUUAAAACUAUUAGAACAAUUGUAAACAACCUUUCUACUGACUCGUUAGACUUUAGAUGUACUAAAAAUCGCAAUGCAUGUCUUACAGAAGCUAAUUGCUUAUGUUGCUCUUCCGAUUUUAGUAUCAGGUAAUUUUGGUUUUUAUGAAUUACGGAAGGAGGGGAGGGGAGGCGGUGGAGCUACUGCAAUCUGCUAAGAUGCAGUGUGUAUUCUUUAAUUUUAGCAAUAAUGAAAACUUGUGCUUCGUUGUUGCAUUAGUUUUUAAGAAUAGUACUAACUGAAUCUAGGAUUCUCAUAUCAUUCUGAGUACCAUUGUGUAUCCUGGUCCUUUCAAGGAGUGUUUUUUUCAACAAAAGCAUUUGACAGAUUCUAGAGGAUAUUUGGUUGAUGAGGAUGGAUUUGACUACAUGAAAAUAUCAUUUUUGAGAGACAUCAAAGCUCAACAAAGAAGUUUACGAGACUAUUCAAAGACCUGUGCUCGUGCGCUCCAGAUAUUAUGAUGAAGCAAAACCGUGGAAUGAAAGGUGUGAUGUUGCAUUUGCUUAUGCUUCACAGAAUGAAAUUGAUCAAUCUGAUGCCAUUAAUUUGGUUAAUUCAGGUUGUCGUAUACUAGUAGAAGGUAGCUGUUCUUGUAGGAUGCAAUAUUGGUUUUUUUCCUCCUCUUCUUCCUUAUAUAUACUUAUGGAAGCUACUUGUUUAGUUUGAAUCACAGGUUCAAACAUGCCUUUUACCCCUGAGGCAGUUCAGAUUCUGAGGAAAGCUAGUGUUCUCAUUGCUUCUGCAAUGGCUGCCGGGGUUGAAUGGAUGAGAUUUUUACUUUACUUUUCCUAUGUAUAGUGUACACAUAAUCCCACCAUAACCAAAACAACAGCGACAAUAAUGAUUGUGGUGGUGGUGGUGUACAGCCACUUUUGUUUCUAAUAACGCCACGAUGAAAAUGCAAAUUUUAUCCACCUUAAUUGACUUCUGUUCAACUUAGGGCAGAUUCAAUUUCAACACCAAACAUUAGACAUGACAUUUGGAUGGACCUUUCUUUAAUCUUCCGUUCUCCUUGCUUGCAGGUUGUGGCUGGAGAACUUGAACUGAAUCACGAAUGCAGUUUGAUGCACUGGUCACCAGAGGACUUUGAAUCUAAAUUGCAAGAAGCAAUGGAGUAGACUUAUCAGAGAGCUAUCAAAGCUGCAACUGAUUUUGGUUAUAAAAAAGAAAGCCCUGAGUAAGUGCUUUCUUCGGUAACAUUACAACAAUGACGAAAGCCUCUUUCAUUUUUCUGUCUUACCACAAUACAAAAUGUAUGAUUUUCCUCUCUGAAGAUCUCUCUUGAU